UGACGGUACCUGACUAAGAAGCACCGGCUAAAUACGUGCCAGCAGCCGCGGUAAUACGUAUGGUGCAAGCGUUAUCCGGAUUUACUGGGUGUAAAGGGAGCGUAGGCGGUCUUACAAGUCUGAUGUGAAAGCCCGGGGCUCAACUCCGGUACUGCAUUGGAAACUGUAGGACUAGAGUGUCGGAGGGGUAAGUGGAAUUCCUAGUGUAGCGGUGAAAUGCGUAGAUAUUAGGAGGAACACCAGUGGCGAAGGCGGCUUACUGGACGAUUACUGACGCUGAGGCUCGAAAGCGUGGGGAGCAAACAGGAUUAGAUACCCUG
RNAcentral lists this ribosomal RNA (320 nucleotides) under uncultured bacterium. Its description in RNAcentral is "bacterial SSU rRNA". It matches the Rfam family "Bacterial small subunit ribosomal RNA", at positions 470 to 789 of the family's 1533-position model. The record is from RNAcentral.